GAUGAACGCUGACAGAAUGCUUAACACAUGCAAGUCAACUUGAAUUUGGGUUUUUAACUUAGGUUUGGGUGGCGGACGGGUGAGUAACGCGUAAAGAACUUGCCUCACAGCUAGGGACAACAUUUGGAAACGAAUGCUAAUACCUAAUAUUAUGAUAAUAGGGCAUCCUAUAAUUAUGAAAGCUAUAAGCGCUGUGAGAGAGCUUUUCGUCCCAUUAGCUAGUUGGAGAGGUAACGGCUCACCAAGGCGAUGAUGGGUAGCCGGCCUGAGAGGGUGAUCGGCCACAAGGGGACUGAGACACGGCCCGUACUCCUACGGGAGGCAGCAGUGGGGAAUAUUGGACAAUGGACCAAGAGUCUGAUGCAGCAAUUCUGUGUGCACGAUGAAGUUUUUCGGAAUGUAAAGUGCUUUCAGUUGGGAAGAAAGAAAUGACGGUACCAACAGAAGAAGUGACGGCUAAAUACGUG
Molecule: ribosomal RNA, 467 nt
Filed under: uncultured bacterium
Lineage: Bacteria
Description: partial 16S ribosomal RNA
Rfam family: Bacterial small subunit ribosomal RNA
Source: RNAcentral